UCAAGCUUCAAUGGACUAAAGGACCUUGUCAUUUCCCCACACUUUGCUCGGCAGAGUGUGUGUUUCGGUUAUUGGAUUAUAACUUUGGACCUUAAUAUCUCCUAUUGGACAUUAUUUUCUUGGACUAUAUUUGACCUUUCCUGAAAGGUCUAUUUCUGAACUUUAUUCUUCACUUAUUUUUAUUGACUUUAUAUAAUCCUUUAAUAAAGAUAUUAGAUAGAUUCUGGUCUCUGCGCAUGGUUAUUGGUGCUCUGCAGCCUGGGUCCUGACACCUGUGAGGUUGGCAAAAUUGAGAGGCAGUAACUCCAAAGUUUACCUAGUAGGUUUCCUAUUGUUGUUGUUGUGUUGUUAUUUCAAAGGCUGGAUGGGUAUCUGUUGGGGGUAGUUUGACUGUGCUCUUCCUGCCUGGCAGACUAAACUCUCCCCUUGUACAAUUACUUAACAAAAGUAACAAAUAAUUUGUUAUAUCGUUAUAGUUAUGAUACAUACCCCUAACAAUAGUUUAGAAACACUUUAGAAACUGUUGUCCGCGCUACCCUAAUUUUGUAACGAGAAUUGAAACUUUUUUUCAUUGAUCGCACAGGACUACUAUGUAUAGAUCUGAGCUGUUUUAAUACCAUGAUUAGUUUAAUUCACAUUCAAGGUAUUGUUCUUUUUUUUAAAAAAAAAUUGUCCCAAAUCCCAAUUUUGGGAGAAAGUAUCGUUGAAAAAUGAACCCCCCUUCCCAAAAGAUAAACUCAACAUGAAUUACAAUAUCAAAUAAAAAAUGUAUUACAUUUUUACACUUUUAUUUAAAAAAGGAACUAUCCCCUUCUCUGAGUGAUAAAAGACAAGAACAUAGCCUUGGACCUCCUAGGAGAAUACCAAAUUUUGAAGUUUUAGCCCCCAAACUAUCUGAGGUCAGCUUAUACAUGAGUACACAUGGUAAUAUUAGAUAUUUUAUAUUACUAAUUGAAAGGCGUCCUCAGUGAAUAUAUCUGAACAUAUAUAGUACUUGCAUGAAUUAGUAAAAUGUACAUAGAGCUGCACUGUAAACUGCUCCCUUUGUUGUCUGGGUUGUUUAUUUCACAAAGCUAAGGGAAAUGAUUGCCAUCAUUCUUAAAGAGGGAUAAGAAUGGAAUAAUGUCAACAGCUAUCCAAAUAGUUCUCAGUUUCACUUUCUUGGCAGAUUACGCAUAAUUUUCUUGAGUGAUCAAAAUCUAGAAACUGUACUGAAGAACAAUGGUGUAAACUAGACAUGUCUAACUUUUUCUGAUUGUUGCUGAAGUUACUUCAGCCCUAUCUUUACUAUGGAAAAGCAUGCUGGCAAUGUUGCUGUUGUCUGGAUAUUUUCAGUCGCACUGCAGUAUGCUUACCACUUCACUUCUAAGAUGAAUUAGAUAUCAAGAAACUUCUUGGAAAUAUUCUUGCUGACACAUCUUAAAGAACUGGGAAACAAGAAAUCUAAUUUUAUCCUUUCAUAGAUUUUUCAAAUAUAUUUUAUUCUCUUGAGGAGAUGGUGAUUCUGUUACCAUGGUAAAGCUCUUUUACUUUGCCUACCAGUCAAUGUAGCAGUGCUCGCUUAUGUUCAUCCACCUACCCUGUUUCAUGAAGCGAGUAGCAUUUCAGGAUUUUUAAAUGAAGUCUCAGAAAAGGUGAAGGGUUCCCAUUAUACUAAAGAGGCAAAACACAUUUGGAGGAGGACUCUAUUAUAGUGAAUGAAAAGGUCGGAUUUCUGUCUAUCUUUA
This 1727-nucleotide long non-coding RNA is filed under the name Anolis carolinensis (green anole). RNAcentral describes it as "lncRNA (ENSACAG00000042514.1)". Lineage: Eukaryota; Metazoa; Chordata; Lepidosauria; Squamata; Anolidae. The record is from RNAcentral.